GCUGGAGUUACUAGUAAUCGCAGAUCAGAAUGCUGCGGUGAAUGCGUUCCCGGGUCUUGUACACACCGCCCGUCACACCACGGGAGUUGGAGACGCCCGAAGCCGACUAUCUAACCUUUUGGAAGAAGUCGUCGAAGGUGGAAUCAAUAACUGGGGUGAAGUCGUAACAAGGUAGCCGUAUCGGAAGGUGCGGCUGGAUCACCUCCUUUCUAA
RNAcentral lists this ribosomal RNA (213 nucleotides) under Clostridioides difficile. Its description in RNAcentral is "partial 16S ribosomal RNA". It matches the Rfam family "Bacterial small subunit ribosomal RNA", at positions 1325 to 1533 of the family's 1533-position model. The record is from RNAcentral. Lineage: Bacteria; Bacillati; Bacillota; Clostridia; Peptostreptococcales; Peptostreptococcaceae.